UAAAGAUUGCUUUUAUAGAUUUAAAAUUUGAUUAUGGUUUUGAAAAAGUUAAAAUAAUAUUAUUUAAUUUUAAUUUAUAAUGUGGGCAAUAAAAUUUUACCCCGUUAAUUUGUUAUUUGUAUAAUACUUGUUCCAGAAUAAUCGGCUAGGCUUGUUAAAAUUUAUACUUUAUUUUUUUUUAAUUACAGUUCGAAGUAAAAUUUUUAAGUAAUUAUAGGUUAAAUUUUAAUUAUUUUAAGAAUAUAAUUGUAAUUGUAAGAUUUGAUAAUCGAAUUAGAUUAGUACCUAAUUAGUCAAAGGUUAAUAAAGCAGAAGUAAAGUAAUGUUUAAACUGAAAGAAUAUUGGCAGAUUUUCUAAAUUAUCUUUGGAGGUUGAGUAAUAAUUGAGAACCCUCAUUAACUACUUUAAAAUUUUGUCUCAUGUAUGAUCGUUUAUUUUAUGUUUAAGAUAUAAAAUAAAAAAUUUUUAUUUUUAAAAAUAGAUAUAUAUUUGGUCUAUGUUAGAGUAAUAUUUGACCUACAAUAAUUUAAUUUUGUGGAUUUGUAAUGUAGUUAUUACAAUGAAAAUGUAAAAGACAGUAAAAAAAUUUUUAUGUUUUUUUGAAGAUUAUUUAGAUGUGGUACAAAUCAUCCAUCAAUUGCCCAAAGGGGAGUAAGUUGUAGUAAAGUAGAUUUAGGGGAACCUUAAUCUAGUAAU
RNAcentral lists this non-coding RNA (697 nucleotides) under Oesophagostomum asperum. The record is from RNAcentral. Lineage: Eukaryota; Metazoa; Nematoda; Chromadorea; Rhabditida; Strongylidae.